RNAcentral lists this long non-coding RNA (291 nucleotides) under Sus scrofa (pig). Its description in RNAcentral is "lncRNA (ENSSSCG00055030459.1)". Lineage: Eukaryota; Metazoa; Chordata; Mammalia; Artiodactyla; Suidae. The record is from RNAcentral.
GGGGUGGCGGCUGGCUCGGCAGCGGCGGGGGCGGCNUCGCUCACUCGCUCCCGGUGCGCGCCGCCCGCUGCCUAGCUCUGGGCUGCCCGCAGCUCCGGCUUCUGGCCCGACGCUCCGGCGCGUCUCGGGCUCCGGACAACAGGACCUCGACUGGCUGGCUGAGCCCGGGGCGAACCGCGAAGCAGGGCCCAGGAUGGCACUCUUGGUGGCAGGGCUCGUUGUCUGCUCCCUCCUGCAAACCAUCUUCUCCCUGAACCCCGAGGACCCCAACGUGUGCAGCCACUGGGAAAG